UUAAUUCUCUUCAAAUGGCUGCUACUUUUGCAUUUUUCCGAGAUGUUUCAACCCUACAAUCUUCUCCGAUGAAGUGGUGAGAAACAAUUACGUCAGUUGUGCUACGUUAGUUGCUUGAACGACGAUGAUUCAAGACAAUUAGAUCUGAUAUGUGGUAAAGCUAAGUUGGUUUUUGUAAGUGAUAUUAGAGAGAGAAUGGACGAGAUUUUUUCUCCGGUGGAUGAAAAACCAUUCUCAUCAAGUAAAAGAUGGUAAUGAGCCGGUCUUGAAGUUCCCUGAGGCAUAAAUUUGGUGAUGGGACAAAGAAA
This 308-nucleotide long non-coding RNA is filed under the name Arabidopsis lyrata. Its description in RNAcentral is "long non-coding RNA (ALYR_LNC002459)". Lineage: Eukaryota; Viridiplantae; Streptophyta; Magnoliopsida; Brassicales; Brassicaceae. The record is from RNAcentral.